AGGACACACAGUGUGGAGCAGGAGGAUUAUGAGAACUGAUCUGGAGAGUCGUCUACAAAGAGUGACGUCCAGAGCUCUGCUGGAGCUGUGGGGAAGUUCAUGAAUGUUAUAGUUGAUGUUUCAGAAAAAAGGAAGAUGUUUGAGAAUCAACAAAACACAGACCACAGAUGAACAAAGGUGAUGUGGCAUUAGGAGACUUUAUACCAGAUGCCCUCCCUGUUACUGUGUUUAGAGGAAGAAAAGCAGC
Molecule: long non-coding RNA, 247 nt
Organism: Boleophthalmus pectinirostris (great blue-spotted mudskipper)
Lineage: Eukaryota; Metazoa; Chordata; Actinopteri; Gobiiformes; Gobiidae
Exons: 3
Source: RefSeq, a predicted model, not a curated record